RNAcentral lists this unclassified non-coding RNA (726 nucleotides) under Espadarana prosoblepon (emerald glass frog). RNAcentral's name for it is "partial contains 12S ribosomal RNA, tRNA-Val and 16S ribosomal RNA". The stretch from base 1 to 480 matches the Rfam family "Bacterial small subunit ribosomal RNA", at positions 853 to 1533 of the family's 1533-position model. Lineage: Eukaryota; Metazoa; Chordata; Amphibia; Anura; Centrolenidae. The record is from RNAcentral.
UUACACCAAAAUCGCCAGGGAACUACGAGCAAAGCUUAAAACCCAAAGGACUUGACGGUACCCCACAUCCACCUAGAGGAGCCUGUCCUACAAUCGAUACCCCACGCUAAACCUCACCACUUUUAGCCUACUCAGCCUGUAUACCUCCGUCGUCAGCUUACCACGUGAGCGCAACUCAGUAAGCUCAAUGCCCAUACRCCAAUACGUCAGGUCAAGGUGCAGCAAAUAAAGUGGGAAGAGAUGGGCUACACUCUCUAAUAUAGAAAAUACGGAAGACUACCUAUGAAACCUAGUCUAAAGGCGGAUUUAGAAGUAAAAAGGAAAAAGAAUGUCCUUUUUAACUCGGCACUGGGGUGUGUACACACCGCCCGUCACCCUCUUCAAAGCCACCAAAAAGUAAAUAACCUCACAAUGCAACACAGAAGAGGCAAGUCGUAACAUGGUAAGUAUACCGGAAGGUGUGCUUGGAAACGAAGUGUAGCUUAAACAAAGCAUUUCGCUUACACCGAAAAAAUAUCUGUGAAACUCAGAUCCCUUCGAGCUGAAAAUUUAGCCCUAACUUAACUAAUGCAACACAAAUAACUCACCUCACUCACUAAAACAUUCUAAUACUUUAGUACAGGAGAUUGAAAAACUACUUGGAGCUAUACUAUACAGUACCGCAAGGGAAAAAUGAAAUAAAAAUGAAACAACUAUUAAGCACAAAAAAGUAGAGAUUACCCCUCG